Molecule: non-coding RNA, 1382 nt
Organism: Penaeus vannamei (Pacific white shrimp)
Lineage: Eukaryota; Metazoa; Arthropoda; Malacostraca; Decapoda; Penaeidae
Source: RefSeq, a predicted model, not a curated record
AGUCCUUCUGCUGUAUCUGUGCUUCGGCCUCUUUCACCUUCGGGAUUUUGUUAGACAAGGACGCUGCUAUACACACUCCACCACCAUGUCGAAGGGCUUCGAUCCUAUGAGCUUCGCCAAGGAUUUUAUCGCCGGUGGCAUCGCCGCCGCGAUUUCCAAGACGGCCGUGGCGCCCAUCGAGAGGGUGAAGCUCCUGCUGCAGGUCCAGGCCGCCUCCAAGCAGAUCACGGCCGACAAGGCGUACAAGGGCAUGGUUGAUUGCUUUGUCCGCAUCCCAAAGGAACAGGGUGUUCUUGCAUACUGCGUGGUAACCUUGCCAACGUUAUCCGAUAUUUCCCCACCCAGGCUCUCAACUUCGCCUUCAAGGACAAGUACAAGCAGAUCUUCCUCGGUGGCGUAGACAAGAAGACACAGUUCUGGAGGUUCUUCGUUGGUAACUUGGCUUCUGGUGGUGCUGCUGGUGCAACUUCCCUUUGCUUCGUCUACCCCCUUGAUUUCGCUCGAACCAGGUUAGCUGCUGAUAUUGGCAAGGGGCUGUCAGCGUGAAUUCAAUGGUUUGGGAGACUGUCUUGUUAAGAUCUUCAAGGCUGAUGGCAUCAUGGGUUUGUACCGUGGCUUCGGAGUGUCUGUGCAGGGUAUCAUUAUCUACCGUGCCGCCUUCUUCGGUUUCUACGACACAGCUAAGGGCAUGUUGCCUGAUCCUAAGAAGUGCUGGCAUCAUCCUCUCAUGGGCUAUUGCACAGACCGUGACCACCAUUUCCGGCAUCAUCUCUUAUCCCUUCGACACUGUGCGUAGGCGCAUGAUGAUGCAGUCCGGUCGCAAGGGUGCUGAUAUCAUGUACAAGAACACCAUUGAUUGCUGGAAGAAGAUUGCCAGAAUGAAGGUAGUGCUGCGUUCUUCAAGGGUGCCUUCUCAAAUGUUCUCCGUGGUACUGGUGGUGCCCUUGUCCUGGUAUUGUAUGACGAGAUCCAGAUCCUCCUGUUCGGCUCUGCAGCGAAGAGUGGCGAAUAAACCUUGAUACAUUACAACCUUAUGUUCGUCGAUCUGCUCGAGAUACUGGAUGGGGAUGACAGAAAAUGGUGGGGUGAAAGAGGACUGCUGUUGGGUAUGCAUAAGCAAAAAUUUCAGCCCAAAGGCUUGUCUUCUGCCAUGUGUAUAGUAAAAUAGUUCCAUGAACUGUACUCGCCUCUGUCCAGCAUGUAGAUCUACAGAUUGAUGCCCAUGUUCAUGUUUUAUAUUAAUUAUAAAGUGGGGAUUCUAGAACAUAGUUUGUACAGAAUAUCAAAUUCAGAAAGCCACAAAUGUCACCAAUUUUCAAUGGCAAAACCAUUCCUGUAAUAAAUUAUCAUAAGUAAAAAAUAAAAAAAUGGAAACACUGAAA